Molecule: transfer RNA, 355 nt
Filed under: uncultured Microcystis sp.
Lineage: Bacteria; Bacillati; Cyanobacteriota; Cyanophyceae; Chroococcales; Microcystaceae
Description: partial 16S-23S ribosomal RNA intergenic spacer
Rfam family: tRNA (bases 133-206)
Source: RNAcentral
AAGGGAGACCUAAUUCGGGUAUAAGACGAAAAAAGAGUAGUCGAAACCAAGAAUCAAUCCCAAAAGGUCGGAACGAGGUAUGUGGCUUUCAAACUAGGUUCUGGGUUCACACAAGACCUGAAUCAGGAACAAGGGCUAUUAGCUCAGGUGGUUAGAGCGCACCCCUGAUAAGGGUGAGGUCCCUGGUUCGAGUCCAGGAUGGCCCACCUGCACAGGUGGCAAAAACAAAGAAGCGAGGAAUCAGCACCUUAUCUUAUCUAUAUAUAAGAGAGAAUGCUGGCUCUGAGUAAAGAGUCCAGAAGAACCUUGAAAACUGCAUAGAGCUAGGUGAAAAAGCCAAAAAAGAAGACCGCAA